This 464-nucleotide ribosomal RNA is filed under the name Listeria fleischmannii FSL S10-1203. RNAcentral describes it as "bacterial SSU rRNA". It matches the Rfam family "Bacterial small subunit ribosomal RNA", at positions 1 to 453 of the family's 1533-position model. Lineage: Bacteria; Bacillati; Bacillota; Bacilli; Caryophanales; Listeriaceae. The record is from RNAcentral.
UUAAAGAGAGUUUGAUCCUGGCUCAGGACGAACGCUGGCGGCGUGCCUAAUACAUGCAAGUCGAACGAACCAAAGAGAAGCUUGCUUCUCUGUCGGUGAGUGGCGGACGGGUGAGUAACACGUGGGCAACCUGCCUAUCAGCGGGGGAUAACACUUGGAAACAGGUGCUAAUACCGCAUAAUAGAGAAGUUCGCAUGAACUUCUUUUGAAAGACGGUUUCGGCUGUCACUGAUAGAUGGGCCCGCGGUGCAUUAGCUAGUUGGUGGGGUAAAGGCCUACCAAGGCGACGAUGCAUAGCCGACCUGAGAGGGUGAUCGGCCACACUGGGACUGAGACACGGCCCAGACUCCUACGGGAGGCAGCAGUAGGGAAUCUUCCGCAAUGGACGAAAGUCUGACGGAGCAACGCCGCGUGUGUGAAGAAGGUUUUCGGAUCGUAAAGCACUGUUGUUAGAGAAGAACAAG